This 1592-nucleotide long non-coding RNA is filed under the name Actinidia chinensis (golden kiwifruit). RNAcentral describes it as "long non-coding RNA (ACHI_LNC000833)". The record is from RNAcentral. Lineage: Eukaryota; Viridiplantae; Streptophyta; Magnoliopsida; Ericales; Actinidiaceae.
AACAUUUAAACUUCAAAGUACUUUUCUCCUGCCUACCCAUCAAGACUAGCAACCACUAAUUGAACUGUCAAGUAAAAUAUCCACAGGUAAAAAUCACACCUGGCACAAUUCACGUGUGUAAGUUGCAUAAUAUUUCUGGAGGGAAAUGAGAAAGUCCUGCUCAAGUUAUAAUAACCAAGGACUAGAACAAUGAUUCAGGUGAGCUCAUUGAAAACGUGCAUUUCUAUAGUUUUAUAAGAGCUGAAAAUGGCUGAUGAUUCCAGUAUAUUAAUGUUUAAAGUCUUACUACUAUAAAAUAUCAGAGUAAAUGAAAGUACAACAUGAACGGCUUAAUUAUUGUCCUAUAUCGAUAAACCACAUAUCAAGUUGUACACAUUAAUUUGGGAGUGCGAAAUCUUAUAAUUUCAUAUUAUUUUACACAUUGUUACUAUAACAUGAGAGUUUUAAAAAUUUUGGGGGUAUGAUUGUGCUCCUACCCCCAAAUGCCCCACUUGGAUCCAUCAGAGGAAGGUGAAAAGCACUAUCACUUAAAAUCUUUAAUGGGUGAGACAAUUAAAGACGGUCAGUUCCCUACUUCACACAUCAAACUUCUCGUAACCACAUAUAACUCAGCAUUUGGCAGUAGAUAGAAUACAAGACUUGUGCACAAGUCUACCUAGAUUAACAAAGCUUCCACAGAAAUCUCCAAGGAUUAAAGUGGUAAAAUACCAUUAUUGAACACCCAAUAACACACAGGAUAUUGAUUUCAUGCCUCAAUCCCCCUAUAGCAAUUGUCCCUACUGUUUCAACAGUGCUGGACUCAAAACAGUAACUAGAUGAAGGCAAAGAGGGUGAUCCAACUCAACAAUCGAGUUUUCCAUGACCUAACCAAAUUCUUAGAACAAUGUCCAAAUAUACAUGCAUAACCCAAGAGAUAAAGUGAUAUGCCCUUUUGUGAUCAUUUAUUUUAAACCAAAACACUCGCAUCAUUUCAGAAAACACUUUGCUUUCUGGAUGAAUCUUAUGUUUACAAACUUGUUAUUCACCUUCCUAACCAAAGAAUAAUGAUAAAAAAAAAAAGUUGGUCAAGAACGUCAAGUGUGUGGACCAGAAUCAAUUUAGGUAUGACUCACAAUACACCAAAGUUCAAUCUACAAAUCUACAUUUAUUUACCAGAACUUUUUGUGGUUUAAUUCUGGAUAGAUAAACUUAUUAUUAAAACAACAUAAACAUCAUUUUUGGAAACAUAGCUUUCACUUUUCAGAGCAACUGAGGUCUGAUUUUAACAUUACCACUGCUUUCAAGGUUCAGGGUGGGUUCCAACUUCCGGAGGCAGCAUCCAAUUCCCACUUAUAGACAACUCACAACUUAGUGAGUGGAGUAUCAACUCUCCCAGCAUAAAAUUUUCGUGUUUGGAUCUUGGAUUUGUAAGAAGAAAGGGAAAUGAAAAUUUAUUUUUUUACAGGUAGUCAAAUAUAGGCAAACCGUCGCUCAUAUGCUUCUCAUUUUGCAGGGCAACCAACCAAAACAAGGAAAUCUAGAUUCUUGUACUAUGUUUCCCUUUAUUUUUGCCUCUAUGCCCACAAAUAAAAGAUUUGGACAAAGCAUUCAGA